Molecule: ribosomal RNA, 470 nt
Filed under: uncultured bacterium
Lineage: Bacteria
Description: bacterial SSU rRNA
Rfam family: Bacterial small subunit ribosomal RNA
Source: RNAcentral
ACUCCUACGGGAGGCAGCAGUGAGGAAUAUUGGUCAAUGAGGGAACUCUGAACCAGCCAUCCCGCGUGUAGGAAGACGGCCUUAUGGGUUGUAAACUACUUUUAUACAGGAAGAAACGUACCCUCGUGAGGGUGCCUGACGGUACUGUAGGAAUAAGCACCGGCUAACUCCGUGCCAGCAGCCGCGGUAAUACGGAGGGGUGCGAGCGUUAUCCGGAUUUAUUGGGGUUUAAAGGGGUCCGUAGGCGGAUUAAUAAGUCAGUGGUGAAAUCCCAUCGCUUAACGAUGGAACUGCCAUUGAUACUGUUAGUCUUGAAUGAGGGUGCAGUGGUUGGAAUGUGUAGUGUAGCGGUGAAAUGCAUAGAUAUUACACAGAACACCGAUUGCGAAGGCAGAUCACUAACCCUAAAUUGACGCUGAGGGACGAAAGCGUGGGGAGCGAACAGGAUUAGAUACCCUGGUAGCGACUGA